Molecule: ribosomal RNA, 258 nt
Filed under: uncultured bacterium
Lineage: Bacteria
Description: partial 16S ribosomal RNA
Rfam family: Bacterial small subunit ribosomal RNA
Source: RNAcentral
UACGGAGGGUGCAAGCGGUUAUCCGGAUUCACUGGGUUUAAAGGGUGCGUAGGCGGGCAAGGUAAGUCAGUGGUGAAAUCUCCGGAGCUUAACUCGGAAACUGCCGUUGAUACUAUCUGUCUUGAAUAUUGUGGAGGUAAGCGGAAUAUGUCAUGUAGCGGUGAAAUGCUUAGAUAUGACAUAGAACACCUAUUGCGAAGGCAGCUUACUACGCAAUCAUUGACGCUGAGGCACGAAAGCGUGGAGGAUCAAAACAGG